CUGUUCAAGGUUCCCCAUCUUUCUUGGCUAUUAACCAAUAUACUCAAGAAAAAGCUUUCAUCACUCCAAAAAAAAAAAAAAAAAUUUCAAGGGGGUUAGCACUUGAGGCAUUGUCUUCCUUAAAACACUUCCUAUUUGAUUCCCUCUGACAGCUGUUUAUGUUGAAGAUUACUAACAUUCCCAAAGUACUUCAUAGUAAAGAUUAAACCUGAAGAUUACAAAGGUUUAUGCAUUUUCACAUACUGUGAUGUGACCUUAAUCUACUUAAAUCUAAAGAAAAAAAGUCAUUUUACAAAGACCCAUUUAGCUAUUUCGACAUGAUUCUUUAUUUUUUUGGAUGCUUAUUUGGCAUAUGAGCCAGAAAUUUAAAAUGUAACAAAAAAUAUGUCUUGAAAAAAAUUAAAAACAGGCAUUUGCAGCACGAUGGAAAAGUUCUAUAGAGCUUUGAGGGAAGUCCAUUCAAUUUCACUGGCAUUCAUAAAUGAUGACUAAUGCAUUCAAAUAGAAUGAGUAAUUUACCAAAUUACAGACAUUUGGAUGGGCUCAGAAUGAAGAUGUUGUUUGUUUGGAUAUGUCCUGAAGUGAAUCUCAAUGAGGUUUACUUUGUUAUGCCUGACUCUACAAAUAGACUUCAGUCACAAUUUGAACAAAAGCCCUGACAUGUAAAUAAAUGUGCAAAUGAUGCCCAGCUACAUUAUUCUUUUUGUCCUCGGACCACUCAGGAACAGUCAACUCCAUUAAAAAAUAUCAGUCACAAAUAGAUGGCACCAUUGUACUUAUCACAAAAGCACCAUAAAAUAGGCUUCUCUUGGCAAGUUAUCAGUGUUAUACCCAUUCUCUUCACGCCACAAAAACCAAGUCCACACAUGCUACAAAAUACCUCUCCUAGCAGCCAUGGGCUACCCUACAAAAAGUGGACCCUCCACACUUGCAUGCUAGUGCCUCAUAAUAUUGGCAUCUCCUAUCGGACAGCACAAGAAAAGAGCUUUAAAAUUCAGAAUGCUUCUUUUAAAGGGCUUCCACCCACUGUUAUGAAGCAGAGAUGAAGGGCAACAGCAAACCCAAUUUCCAGUCACAACAACAUAUGCAUUGCUAAAUGUCUUGUGAUGGGGCUCAAACUCCAACACACUUUGGCAGUUUCUGUAAAGGUCAGAAAUUCCAGGUGAUAAUAUAAAAUCAAUCCUUCAUAUAAUUGUUUCAUAUGUAUCCCAAAAUGAAUUAGACCUACUAUACAUCUGGUCCAAAAAUUCUGAACAUUUGCUAAAGUUGACUGAAAAAAUAAAAAUAUAACCUUUGCCUCAUAAACUGAAUUGAAUUACUAACAAAUUAUUCUAGAGGUAAUCACUUCAUUACUUCAGCUACAAAAUCUACCUAAUUGGAUUUUGAUAAUCAGGGGAAAUCUUACUACUACCGUGUCCAAAGCAGUUCUGUCCAUUUUCCUGCCAGAAUGGUCAUGAUCCUGGCAACUGUUAGCCUGUUCAUUCUGAGGCUUCAUUCAAAUACAUAUAUACCACACCAAAUAUACCACAGAUACAGCAGAAAUGGUUCCUGAGACCUGGAGGAUACAAUCUUGCAUAGAAGAGAUAUGUUGACCAAGUGACUGGAGGAUCAUAAGGGCUGUAAAUUACCAGUACAAAAUUCUGUGGAAGAUUACCACAGAAUUACCACAGAUUCCCUUGUUCCCUAGUCUAAGGGAACAAGGAUGGCUUCUCUAAGGAGCGAUGUUUAAGCUGAGACUUGAAGGGUGGUGCUACUGACGAGGUGAGUAAGUAGCAUGAGCAGGUAGGAGGAUUCCAAGCCAAAGAAACAGGACAUCCAGAGGCUCCAGACGAAGGAGGAUGAUGUAUGUGGAACUGCACCGAGGCUAGUGUGGCUGGAGUAGAGAGAGGCAGGAAGUGUCUAAGGCUGAGGCACCAGAGGCAAGAGUCAGUCAGAUCAUCCUAGGCCUUAGAAACUUCUUAGAGCCUGUGGGUUUUAUUCCAGAGAUGACUAAAAGUCAUUAGAAGGUGGAAGAGUUUUGCUAGGGCUGCCUUGACGAAGUACCACAGACUGAGUGGCUGAACCAAUUCAUUUUCUCACAAUUCUGGAAUUUAGAAGCCCAAGAUCAUGAUGUCAGCAAGAAUGUUUUCUCACAAUUCUGGAAUUUAUUUUAUCACAAUUCUGGAAGUUAGAAGCCCAAGAUUGCGAUGCCAGCAAGGUUUUGGCAGAAAUGUGAAUAUAAGCAAGCAUACUAUGAGAUACAUGAUCCAGUCACUGUAACCUUCUUUGGAACUAGUAUUGAUCCAGCAGCAGCUUUCAGUACUGAUCCUAAAAACAAAUAAUAUGAUCGGAUCAGAUCAUCACAAAGGGAGCAGGAAUUUGAAGGAUGUAUCUGGGUUAUUCAAACCGAAAACACCUAACUCCAGUUCAUUAAAAAUCAUUUCAUAUUUGUAUAAAAAUAAUUUUUAAAAGAGUCUAGAUGUAGUUAUAAUUUUAAAAGUAGUCAUAUUUCUAGAACCUUCUUUAAAUUCUUGUUAUUUGAAUAUGAAAUUAUUGUAAAUCCAUUGAAUAAAUAACUAUAUUCAUAUAAAAUUUCAAACUAAUACAUACAUUAGAAGUAAGUAUAUUUAUUUCUCAUUGAGAUGAAAUAUUUUUGUCCCACAAUAUUAGAUUUGUAUAUGUG
Molecule: long non-coding RNA, 2662 nt
Filed under: Homo sapiens (human)
Lineage: Eukaryota; Metazoa; Chordata; Mammalia; Primates; Hominidae
Description: HSALNT0336348
Source: RNAcentral